RNAcentral lists this ribosomal RNA (569 nucleotides) under uncultured Pseudomonadota bacterium. RNAcentral's name for it is "bacterial SSU rRNA". It matches the Rfam family "Bacterial small subunit ribosomal RNA", at positions 115 to 680 of the family's 1533-position model. Lineage: Bacteria; Pseudomonadati; Pseudomonadota. The record is from RNAcentral.
GUCUGGGAAACUGCCCGAUGGAGGGGGAUAACUACUGGAAACGGUAGCUAAUACCGCAUAACGUCGCAAGACCAAAGAGGGGGACCUUAGGGCCUCUUGCCAUCGGAUGUGCCCAGAUGGGAUUAGCUAGUAGGUGGGGUAAAGGCUCACCUAGGCGACGAUCCCUAGCUGGUCUGAGAGGAUGACCAGCCACACUGGAACUGAGACACGGUCCAGACUCCUACGGGAGGCAGCAGUGGGGAAUAUUGCACAAUGGGCGCAAGCCUGAUGCAGCCAUGCCGCGUGUAUGAAGAAGGCCUUCGGGUUGUAAAGUACUUUCAGCGGGGAGGAAGGGAGUAAAGUUAAUACCUUUGCUCAUUGACGUUACCCGCAGAAGAAGCACCGGCUAACUCCGUGCCAGCAGCCGCGGUAAUACGGAGGGUGCAAGCGUUAAUCGGAAUUACUGGGCGUAAAGCGCACGCAGGCGGUUUGUUAAGUCAGAUGUGAAAUCCCCGGGCUCAACCUGGGAACUGCAUCUGAUACUGGCAAGCUUGAGUCUCGUAGAGGGGGGUAGAAUUCCAGGUGUAGCG